This 473-nucleotide long non-coding RNA is filed under the name Gossypium barbadense (sea-island cotton). RNAcentral describes it as "long non-coding RNA (GBAR_LNC019065)". Lineage: Eukaryota; Viridiplantae; Streptophyta; Magnoliopsida; Malvales; Malvaceae. The record is from RNAcentral.
GGAAAAUGAAUAUAUGAAAACAAAAAUGUUAUUACAUUUUGCUAAGAAGCAAGCAAACAAAUCAUAUAAUUCCAAAACGGUUCUAAAUUUCUCAUUAUUUCCCAUAGUUAAUUGUCUCACCGUCUAUUUUGACAAUUGAUUUUCGAACUUGAAUCGACUGAUUUCACUUGAAGUGGCAAAUCGCUGAAGGGAAGUAGACGAAAAAAUUGAAGAGAAAAAAUCACCAAAUUGUUGAGAGUUUCAUUUCUGAAAAGACUAGAAAUGGCUAGGGCUUUUUUCUUUUUGUCAACAAAACUACUGCUGGUUGUUUUUUCUACAGAGAUGAAUCCUAGGUCGGGGACGCAAUGAAGGGAAGGGGAAGGAGAACGAGAGAGCAUUUAGCAAGUUCUGAUGCUGGGAUGUGAAGAGGGAAAACUUUGGAAAAUAUCUUGCCAAAAUAAAAAGGGAAAGACAUUUCCAAAAAAACCUCCUUU